Molecule: long non-coding RNA, 261 nt
Filed under: Nicotiana benthamiana
Lineage: Eukaryota; Viridiplantae; Streptophyta; Magnoliopsida; Solanales; Solanaceae
Description: long non-coding RNA (NBEN_LNC035281)
Source: RNAcentral
UACUGGUCAUAUGUCAUCAUUCAGUCUCAGCUGACGCUAGGGACUUCAUAUGUGACCCCGUCAGCUCCAUUAUUGAAUGCGGUAACGAUCAUUAUGCGACAAGAGUAGGAUCAGUAUUUUCUUGGUCCUCCGAUGCCAUCGACGGUUGCUGAUGAUCAUCCGACACGUGAUGUGUAUAGUAGGCGUCGACUGAGUUAUGGCUCAUCAUCGAGGGAUGUUGAGGAUCUUUCAUAGGGUUAGUUAUUUUGUAUUGUCACACCU